GUGAUGCGGCAGCUUACCAUGCAGUCGAGCGGUAACAGGGGGUGCUUGCACCCCGCUGACGAGCGGCGGACGGGUGAGUAAUGCAUAGGAAUCUGCCCAGUAGUGGGGGAUAGCCCGGGGAAACCCGGAUUAAUACCGCAUACGCCCUUUGGGGGAAAGCAGGGGAUCUUCGGACCUUGCGCUAUUGGAUGAGCCUAUGUCGGAUUAGCUAGUUGGUGGGGUAAAGGCCUACCAAGGCGACGAUCCGUAGCUGGUCUGAGAGGAUGAUCAGCCACAUCGGGACUGAGACACGGCCCGAACUCCUACGGGAGGCAGCAGUGGGGAAUAUUGGACAAUGGGGGCAACCCUGAUCCAGCCAUGCCGCGUGUGUGAAGAAGGCUUUCGGGUUGUAAAGCACUUUCAGUGAGGAGGAAAACCUUCUGGUUAAUACCCAUGAGGCUUGACGUUACUCACAGAAGAAGCACCGGCUAACUCCGUGCCAGCAGCCGCGGUAAUACGGAGGGUGCAAGCGUUAAUCGGAAUUACUGGGCGUAAAGCGCGCGUAGGUGGUUUGAUAAGCGAGAUGUGAAAGCCCCGGGCUUAACCUGGGAACGGCAUUUCGAACUGUCAG
RNAcentral lists this ribosomal RNA (610 nucleotides) under Marinobacter sp. RNAcentral's name for it is "bacterial SSU rRNA". It matches the Rfam family "Bacterial small subunit ribosomal RNA", at positions 33 to 639 of the family's 1533-position model. Lineage: Bacteria; Pseudomonadati; Pseudomonadota; Gammaproteobacteria; Pseudomonadales; Marinobacteraceae. The record is from RNAcentral.